GAUUGAACGCUGGCGGCAGGCCUAACACAUGCAAGUCGAACGGUAACAGGAAGAGCUUGCUUCUUUGCUGACGAGUGGCGGACGGGUGAGUAAUGUCUGGGAAACUGCCUGAUGGAGGGGGAUAACUACUGGAAACGGUAGCUAAUACCGCAUAACGUCGCAAGACCAAAGAGGGGGACCUUCGGGCCUCUUGCCAUCGGAUGUGCCCAGAUGGGAUUAGCUGUAGGUGGGGUAACGGCUCACCUAGGCGACGAUCCCUAGCUGGUCUGAGAGGAUGACCAGCCACACUGGAACUGAGACACGGUCCAGACUCCUACGGGAGGCAGCAGUGGGGAAUAUUGCACAAUGGGCGCAAGCCUGAUGCAGCCAUGCCGCGUGUAUGAAGAAGGCCUUCGGGUUGUAAAGUACUUUCAGCGGGGAGGAAGGGAGUAAAGUUAAUACCUUUGCUCAUUGACGUUACCCGCAGAAGAAGCACCGGCUAACUCCGUGCCAGCAGCCGCGGUAAUACGGAGGGUGCAAGCGUUAAUCGGAAUUACUGGGCGUAAAGCGCACGCAGGCGGUUUGUUAAGUCAGAUGUGAAAUCCCCGGGCUCAACCUGGGAACUGCAUCUGAUACUGGCAAGCUUGAGUCUCGUAGAGGGGGGUAGAAUUCCAGGUGUAGCGGUGAAAUGCGUAGAGAUCUGGAGGAAUACCGGUGGCGAAGGCGGCCCCCUGACGAAGAC
Molecule: ribosomal RNA, 721 nt
Filed under: Escherichia sp.
Lineage: Bacteria; Pseudomonadati; Pseudomonadota; Gammaproteobacteria; Enterobacterales; Enterobacteriaceae
Description: bacterial SSU rRNA
Rfam family: Bacterial small subunit ribosomal RNA
Source: RNAcentral